RNAcentral lists this ribosomal RNA (275 nucleotides) under uncultured bacterium. Its description in RNAcentral is "partial 16S ribosomal RNA". It matches the Rfam family "Bacterial small subunit ribosomal RNA", at positions 523 to 796 of the family's 1533-position model. The record is from RNAcentral.
ACACGUAGGGAGCAAGCGUUGUCCGGAUUUAUUGGGCGUAAAGAGCUCGUAGGCGGUUCCGUAAGUCGGAUGUGAAAACUCAGGGCUCAACCCUGAGACGCCAUCUGAUACUGCGGUGACUAGAGUCCGGUAGGGGAGCAUGGAAUUCCUGGUGUAGCGGUGGAAUGCGCAGAUAUCAGGAGGAACACCAGUGGCGAAGGCGGUGCUCUGGGCCGGUACUGACGCUGAGGAGCGAAAGCAUGGGGAGCAAACAGGAUUAGAAACCCUAGUAGUCC